RNAcentral lists this ribosomal RNA (492 nucleotides) under uncultured bacterium. RNAcentral describes it as "partial 16S ribosomal RNA". It matches the Rfam family "Bacterial small subunit ribosomal RNA", at positions 29 to 507 of the family's 1533-position model. The record is from RNAcentral.
AGUGAACGCUGGCGGUAGGCCUAACACAUGCAAGUCGAACGGCAGCACAGUAAGAGCUUGCUCUUACGGGUGGCGAGUGGCGGACGGGUGAGGAAUACAUCGGAAUCUACUUUUUCGUGGGGGAUAACGUAGGGAAACUUACGCUAAUACCGCAUACGACCUACGGGUGAAAGCAGGGGAUCUUCGGACCUUGCGCGAUUGAAUGAGCCGAUGUCGGAUUAGCUAGUUGGCGGGGUAAAGGCCCACCAAGGCGACGAUCUGUAGCUGGUCUGAGAGGAUGAUCAGCCACACUGGAACUGAGACACGGUCUAGACUCCUACGGGAGGCAGCAGUGGGGAAUAUUGGACAAUGGGCGCAAGCCUGAUCCAGCCAUACCGCGUGGGUGAAGAAGGCCUUCGGGUUGUAAAGCCCUUUUGUUGGGAAAGAAAAGCAGCAGGUUAAUACCCCGCUGUUCUGACGGUACCCAAAGAAUAAGCACCGGCUAACUUCGUG